Molecule: non-coding RNA, 198 nt
Organism: Arabidopsis thaliana (thale cress)
Lineage: Eukaryota; Viridiplantae; Streptophyta; Magnoliopsida; Brassicales; Brassicaceae
Source: RefSeq
AUGUUGUGAGAGUUUUUUUUGUCAGAAUUUGGCCAAGCGAUGUGCUUGAGGAGAGAUCAAUGUUGAUCUCUAUGUUAUCGUGAGGGCUGGACCUCCGGAUCUUCACUAAAGGUAAUCCGAAGAGUGGAUUGCGAUGACUGAAGCUCAAUUUCUUGGUGGUGACUAUAGUGAGAAAGACAAGUUGGCAUGUGUUUCUGG